GUGGGGAAAAAGCACUGGCACAUGCCAGGGUCGCCGUAGGUGGAGCGGCCGGCGCAUGCGCACGCGCACCCUCGCCGGGCCAUGAACGCCGAGGGGCGCGCGCCCCUUUCGCGCGCGCAUGCUUGCACUAUCAUAGGCUCCCCCAGCCUGCGUUCUUGUCAAAGCCGCUCCGGCGCGUGCGCGCGUUAUCUCCGGCUGACUCGCCUCGGCUUUUUUCCCCCUUCCCCUAGCACUCACAGCCUCUUCAGCCUCCUGCGCUCCACCCCCGCCCCUCGGUCCGUUCCCCUUUCUCCUCCCCCCAGGAAUGGGGUUCACGCUGCUCUGGGUCGCGCGCCCAGUGGCUAGCUCGCGCUGUCAGCGUCCGCCCAGCUCGCGCCGCCUCGCGCUCCCCCUCAGUCAGUGGCGCCGAAGGCUCCGUUAAACGGCGGCAGCGGCGGUUCCUGUUUCCGUUUCUUCCUCUCCUCCCCAAGUCGGGAGUAGCAUCCUCCUCCACGCCACCAUCCCUCCUACUCCUACUCCCCCUUCCCGGGGCAGCGACGGCCGGAGGCGGCUGUGUCUGGAGACGAGCCGCCGGAGUCCUCCUCCCUCCCUCCACGGUGGCAGAAAGAUGUAAGGAAAAUGAAAUCUCCAAAGAAUUCUUCUGUACCUGGAGCAGCUUGGCAGAUCUAGAGGAGAGAACCUAUCAGCUGUAACUGACUGCAGAGUCCCACCCACAGCAGUGCAGAUGGAUCUAAAGGAAAGAUGAUGAAUAACCAAAGUUUUUUCAAGGGAAACCACAGGAUUCCCUAAUCUUCAAGAUUACGCACAAUUUCUGUAAUUCUUGUUUGUAAUGGUGGCUUUUGUACCAUUUAGUGGCAGGGUAUUUUAGUUUGGGGGAAUUCUGAAGAGGAAAAAAUCUGAAAUCGGAAAGAAACAGCAGAAUUUAUCAUUUUACUUUUUUUUUUUUUUGAAAACUUCUUGGACCUCAACAGCUUCAUUGUGAUAUGGAGAUUACUCAGAAUUCUUGAAGGUUUUGUGUCAGCAUACCAUAAAUGUUGGCCAGCUCACCAAGUUUGAAAGACUUUGAGUAUGGCCUUGUCUACAAACUUGUAUCUUCUAGCUUAAUUUAAUUCACAAUGGCUUAUUGGGGAGUGUGAGGUUGUUCAACUAUAGCAAAGAUCAUUUGGUGAAGAG
Molecule: long non-coding RNA, 1173 nt
Organism: Sarcophilus harrisii (Tasmanian devil)
Lineage: Eukaryota; Metazoa; Chordata; Mammalia; Dasyuromorphia; Dasyuridae
Exons: 2
Source: RefSeq, a predicted model, not a curated record